GCUGGCAUGGCUCAAUGGCUAGAGCAUUGGCUUGCACACCAGAGGGUGCAGGUUCGAUCCCUGGCCCCAGUC
Non-coding RNA from Myotis lucifugus (little brown bat), 72 nucleotides. The record is from Rfam. Lineage: Eukaryota; Metazoa; Chordata; Mammalia; Chiroptera; Vespertilionidae.